This 297-nucleotide small nuclear RNA is filed under the name Aotus nancymaae (Ma's night monkey). Its description in RNAcentral is "7SK RNA (ENSANAG00000004692.1)". It matches the Rfam family "7SK RNA". Rfam says of the family: 7SK was discovered as an abundant small nuclear RNA in the mid-70s but a possible function has only recently been suggested. Two independent studies have found that 7SK RNA binds the CDK9/cyclin T complex (known as elongation factor P-TEFb). P-TEFb activates transcription by phosphorylating the C-terminal domain of RNA polymerase II. Lineage: Eukaryota; Metazoa; Chordata; Mammalia; Primates; Aotidae. The record is from Rfam by way of RNAcentral.
GGAUGUGAGGGUGAUCUGGCUGCGACAUCUGUCACCCCAUUGAUCAUCAGGGUUGAUUCGGCUGAUCUGGCUGGCUAGGCGGGUGUCCCCUUCCUCCCUCACCGCUCCAUGUGCGUCCCUCCCGAAGCUGUGUGCUCGGUCGAAGAGGACGACCAUCCCCGAUAAAGGAGGACCGGUCUUCGGUCAAGGGUAUACGAGUAGCUGCGCUCCCCUGCUAGAACCUCCAAAUAAGCUCUCAAGAAAGCUUUAAGUAACACUGGCUGUUAACUUACUCUGGAGCAUCUUGUUUGCUGCAAA